Molecule: ribosomal RNA, 362 nt
Filed under: uncultured bacterium
Lineage: Bacteria
Description: partial 16S ribosomal RNA
Rfam family: Bacterial small subunit ribosomal RNA
Source: RNAcentral
CCUACGGGGGGCUGCAGUGAGGAAUAUUGGUCAAUGGACGCAAGUCUGAACCAGCCAUGCCGCGUGCAGGAAGACGGCUCUAUGAGUUGUAAACUGCUUUUGUACGAGAGUAAACGCAGAUACGCGUAUCUGUCUGAAAGUACCGUACGAAUAAGGAUCGGCUAACUCCGUGCCAGCAGCCGCGGUAAUACGGAGGAUUCAAGCGUUAUCCGGAUUUAUUGGGUUUAAAGGGUGCGUAGGCGGGCGGAUAAGUCAGAGGUGAAAUCCCGGGGCUCAACUGCGGAAUUGCAUUUGAUACUGGUCGGCUAGAGGGUAGUUGAGGUAGGCGGAAUGUAUGGUGUAGCGGUGAAAUGCUUAGAGAU